This 119-nucleotide long non-coding RNA is filed under the name Polistes fuscatus (common paper wasp). RNAcentral describes it as "uncharacterized LOC122518323". The record is from RNAcentral. Lineage: Eukaryota; Metazoa; Arthropoda; Insecta; Hymenoptera; Vespidae.
AAAGGGGGGAACAAAAGGAUAGCCAGAGAUAGGAGAUAGAAAGUAUUGUUCCGUUAAAGUUCAAUACGUUUGUCAAGAUUUUUCAACCGGUAUUUACCAUAAGAAAGGAUAGACAAAAA